This 218-nucleotide long non-coding RNA is filed under the name Elaeis guineensis (African oil palm). RNAcentral describes it as "long non-coding RNA (EGUI_LNC028856)". Lineage: Eukaryota; Viridiplantae; Streptophyta; Magnoliopsida; Arecales; Arecaceae. The record is from RNAcentral.
CAUACAUUGAACCUAGCCUCAUUUUCGGCUCAUGUGGAAGGAGGGGAAUCCCACGUAAACGCCUUUAUCUCAACCUGUCGGUAGGAAUCGUUUGUGGGUCUCUCAUGUCCUUUUUUUUAUCUAUAUGUCGGUCUCUCAGAGAUGCCAAGCCCUUCAAAAGAACUAGGUCUCGGAGCGAAUACUCCUUAUAGUCUAGUGCUCAAUGUUCUUGAUCCACU